Molecule: ribosomal RNA, 630 nt
Filed under: uncultured bacterium
Lineage: Bacteria
Description: bacterial SSU rRNA
Rfam family: Bacterial small subunit ribosomal RNA
Source: RNAcentral
GCGUUCCAUUAGGUAGUUGGUGAGGUAACGGCUCACCAAGCCGACGAUGGAUAGGGGAACUGAGAGGUUGGUCCCCCACACUGGUACUGAGACACGGACCAGACUCCUACGGGAGGCAGCAGUGAGGAAUAUUGGUCAAUGGGCGGGAGCCUGAACCAGCCAAGUCGCGUGAAGGAAGAAGGAUCUAUGGUUCGUAAACUUCUUUUGCAGGGGAAUAAAGUGCAGGACGUGUCCUGUUUUGUAUGUACCCUGAGAAUAAGGAUCGGCUAACUCCGUGCCAGCAGCCGCGGUAAUACGGAGGAUCCGAGCGUUAUCCGGAUUUAUUGGGUUUAAAGGGUGCGUAGGUGGUUUGAUAAGUCAGCGGUGAAAGUUUGCAGCUUAACUGUAAAAAUGCCGUUGAAACUGUCGGACUUGAGUGUAAAUGAGGUAGGCGGAAUGCGUGGUGUAGCGGUGAAAUGCAUAGAUAUCACGCAGAACUCCGAUUGCGAAGGCAGCUUACUAAGCUACAACUGACACUGAAGCACGAAAGCGUGGGGAUCAAACAGGAUUAGAUACCCUGGUAGUCCACGCAGUAAACGAUGAUUACUAGCUGUUUGCGAUACACAGUAAGCGGCACAGCGAAAGCGUUAA